Molecule: long non-coding RNA, 299 nt
Organism: Eriocheir sinensis (Chinese mitten crab)
Lineage: Eukaryota; Metazoa; Arthropoda; Malacostraca; Decapoda; Varunidae
Exons: 3
Source: RefSeq, a predicted model, not a curated record
GCGCAGUCUGUGUCGCCGCGGCCACACGGUGUUUACCUCGGCACUCUCUAGGCGCCUGUUGCCGGCCUUUUUCCGUCCCCUGUAAACCUACGUGCAAGGGUGGAGGAGAAUGUUUGUGGUGUCCGCAGCGGCAGUGAUGGGCGACGGAGGUGACGGGGCCGUGCAGAGCCGGAGCCAAGGAAUCCCUCCCGACAUGAAGCCCGCGGCAGGAAGAUCGCUUGAGUGGGUCUUAAGGAGCCGUGGGUGGCCAGCGGCGUCCCCAGCAUGCCAGGUCCCACGGCAGGAGAGCUGGGUAGGGG